RNAcentral lists this ribosomal RNA (377 nucleotides) under uncultured bacterium. RNAcentral describes it as "bacterial SSU rRNA". It matches the Rfam family "Bacterial small subunit ribosomal RNA", at positions 521 to 896 of the family's 1533-position model. The record is from RNAcentral.
UAAUACGGAGGGUGCGAGCGUUGUCCGGAAUCACUGGGCGUAAAGGGCGCGUAGGCGGUUUGGUAAGCGUGCGGUGAAAGCCCGGGGCUCAACCCCGGGUCGGCCGUGCGGACUGCGAGACUGGAGCACUGUAGAGGCGGGUGGAAUUCCGGGUGUAGCGGUGGAAUGCGUAGAGAUCCGGAAGAACACCGGUGGCGAAGGCGGCCCGCUGGGCAGUGGCUGACGCUGAGGCGCGACAGCGUGGGGAGCAAACAGGAUUAGAUACCCUGGUAGUCCACGCCGUAAACGAUGGGCACUAGAUGCCUGGGGGAGCGACCCUCCGGGUGUCGGCGCUAACGCAUUAAGUGCCCCGCCUGGGGAGUACGGCCGCAAGGCUG